GAGGGUAUAUCUCAGUGGUAGAGUGUGUGCUUUGCAUGCACAAGGUCCUGGGUUCAACCCCCAGUACCUCCA
RNAcentral lists this transfer RNA (72 nucleotides) under Camelus bactrianus (Bactrian camel). It matches the Rfam family "tRNA". Rfam says of the family: Transfer RNA (tRNA) molecules are approximately 80 nucleotides in length. The record is from Rfam by way of RNAcentral. Lineage: Eukaryota; Metazoa; Chordata; Mammalia; Artiodactyla; Camelidae. RNAcentral also lists the same sequence under 3 other names.